AUUUUUAUGCAUCUUGAAUAAGAAAUAUUCUUGGUCAUUUAGGAUUGACUAAGAAAACCGGAACCCAAUACGUUAGGGCUCAAUUUCCCUCGAAAAUCCC
Molecule: small RNA, 100 nt
Organism: Gossypium raimondii (Peruvian cotton)
Lineage: Eukaryota; Viridiplantae; Streptophyta; Magnoliopsida; Malvales; Malvaceae
Rfam family: Heliobacter pylori small RNA HPnc0580
Source: Rfam